GGGGCUGAAUUUUAAGCUCGACAGUGGACCUUAACAAGCAAAUUGCGCAAGCCGGUUACUCACCGUUAUAGGGUAAAACAACAGAUGCAAAAACAUCUAAUCGUGAAAGUCUAAUUGCUGACUUAGCAAACCGUUUUGGUUUUGCUCCUAAGCAAGAAGCUUUUGCACUUGCAGCCUAGUUUAUAGGUUGCGGUCUUUUAGCUAGACACCAAAUAUAGCUAUUAGAUCUCAAAUUUAUUUGGUUGCUGUUUUUAGUGCUAUUAGAACUAAAAAUUUAAGACUUUCUUGUUGCUAGUUCGUGCUAUUUUGUUUGUUUAGCCAGCACAGCUAUAAGAUUUUAAACAAAACAAGCUUGUAGUGCAUUUGCAACGUUAACCAUUGGACGCGGGGGUGGUACCCGCCAGCUCCACCA
Molecule: transfer-messenger RNA, 412 nt
Filed under: Candidatus Saccharimonadota bacterium
Lineage: Bacteria; Candidatus Saccharimonadota
Rfam family: transfer-messenger RNA
About the family: Bacterial tmRNA, also known as 10Sa RNA or SsrA, is named for its dual tRNA and mRNA-like properties.
Source: RNAcentral